CAGUAGCCGCGGGAAUACGAAGGGUGCAAGCGUUAAUCGGAAUUACUGGGCGUAAAGCGCGCGUAGGUGGUUCAUUAAGUUGGAUGUGAAAGCCCUGGGCUCAACCUGGGAACUGCAUCCAAAACUGGUGAGCUAGAGUACGGUAGAGGGUAGUGGAAUUUCCUGUGUAGCGGUGAAAUGCGUAGAUAUAGGAAGGAACACCAGUGGCGAAGGCGACUACCUGGACUGAUACUGACACUGAGGUGCGAAAGCGUGGGGAGCAAACAGGAUUAGAUACCCCCGUAGUCCCUGUCUCUUAUAC
This 301-nucleotide ribosomal RNA is filed under the name uncultured bacterium. RNAcentral's name for it is "partial 16S ribosomal RNA". It matches the Rfam family "Bacterial small subunit ribosomal RNA", at positions 509 to 807 of the family's 1533-position model. The record is from RNAcentral.